AGUCAGAUAUUCCAGUGGUCAAGAUUUCCGCCUGUCAGUUGGGGAAGGUAGAAGACUAAACAAAGCCUGAAGCUUAAAGCAACAAAACCAAAAAAAAAAGCGCGCGGACGACCGGGGUUCGAUUCCCCGCCUGAGAG
Arthrobotrys musiformis is the source of this 137-nucleotide non-coding RNA. NCBI's taxonomy places the organism in Eukaryota, Fungi, Ascomycota, Orbiliomycetes, Orbiliales, Orbiliaceae. The record is from the annotation of a GenBank genome assembly.